AAGUCGUAACAAGGUUUCCGUAGGUGAACCUGCGGAAGGAUCAUUAUUAAAAAAUGUUCAAGAGUGCACUUCAUUGUGGCUCUAAACCUUUUUUCAAUAUACCUUUCACCCUUUUUUUAAAACCCAAAGGCUGUUAUGUGUGCCUCCUUUGGUAUAGCAUCUCAGUAGUACGCAUCAUGUGUGAAUUCACAAGUUGCAUUACCCCCCUUUUAACUUUUAAAUCACUAUAAAAAGUUUUUAGAAUGUAAACCCCCGUUUAAAUUAAUAUAA
RNAcentral lists this unclassified non-coding RNA (270 nucleotides) under plant metagenome. Its description in RNAcentral is "partial contains small subunit ribosomal RNA and internal transcribed spacer 1". The stretch from base 1 to 46 matches the Rfam family "Eukaryotic small subunit ribosomal RNA", at positions 1786 to 1831 of the family's 1831-position model. The record is from RNAcentral.